RNAcentral lists this long non-coding RNA (419 nucleotides) under Homo sapiens (human). Its description in RNAcentral is "HSALNT0363342". Lineage: Eukaryota; Metazoa; Chordata; Mammalia; Primates; Hominidae. The record is from RNAcentral.
CCUGAGUAGCUGGGAUUACAGAUUUAUAGGAGCAUUGUGACUGGACCAAGGACAAAGAAGUUCCCAACCUCCUCAGACCCUCGCUGCUGCCCAGAUGUCUGCCAUGGGGUGGCCAUCAUCGAAUCCACUGAGGGCGCAAAUAGAACAAAAAGGUGAAGAAAAGGUGAAUUCUCUCCUUUCUUGAGCUGGGACAUCCAACUUCUCAGACAUCAGAGCUCCUGGAGGCCUUCAGACUCCGAGACAUUACACCAUUGGCUCACCUGGUCCUCAGGUCUUUGGACUUGGAAUGAAUUACACCAUUGGCUUUCCAGGUCUUCCAGCUUGCAGAUGGCAGAUUGUGGGACUUUUCAGCCUCCAUAACUUUGUCAUCCAAUUCCCAUAAUAAAUCGCCUCUUAUAUCUGUAUCUGUUUGGUUCUGU